GGAGGGUGCAAGCGUUGUUCGGAAUUAUUGGGCGUAAAGAGCGUGUAGGCGGUCCGGGUAAGUCAGAUGUGAAAGCCCUGGGGCUCAACCCAGGAAGUGCAUUUGAAGCUACCAGACUUGAGUACGGGAGAGGAGGGGGGAAUUCCCGGUGUAGAGGUGAAAUUCGUAGAUAUCGGGAGGAAUACCAGUGGCGAAGGCGCCCCUCUGGACCGAUACUGACGCUGAGACGCGAAAGCGUGGGGAGCAAACAGGAUUAGAUACCCUGGUAGUCCGCGCCGUAAACGAUGAGCACUAGGUGUAGCGGGUAUUGACCCCUGCUGUGCCGUAGCUAACGCAUUAAGUGCUCCGCCUGGGGACUACGGUCGCAAAGACUAA
Molecule: ribosomal RNA, 375 nt
Filed under: uncultured organism
Description: partial 16S ribosomal RNA
Rfam family: Bacterial small subunit ribosomal RNA
Source: RNAcentral